RNAcentral lists this long non-coding RNA (1972 nucleotides) under Theobroma cacao (cacao). Its description in RNAcentral is "long non-coding RNA (TCAC_LNC003233)". The record is from RNAcentral. Lineage: Eukaryota; Viridiplantae; Streptophyta; Magnoliopsida; Malvales; Malvaceae.
UAUUUUCUUAUAAAACAAUAUUUAUAGAGUUACCGAUAAAUAAUUUUUAUAGCGUAAAAGCUAAAUAAAUUCAUACAUACUAUAAUACAGAUAACCAAAGUAUAAAUUUAAUUUACAAUGACACGUGGGCCCACGAACGACCAAAACUAAUGAAGGUUAUGAACCUACAGUUUUUGAGGAUACAAGUCCAACUGUAGCCUUCAAAGAAAUGAGCUAUCUACCGACUAUCCUAAGCUUGAAAUUGGUGGAAAUGAGGGUGGUGAGAUUAUAUAAUCCCAGUGAGUAAACAAAUAUUAUCUAAAAUAUCUAAAGCUGAGUAAAUAGAGAUAGAUAAAAUAGUUUAACAUACUGUAAUUUAUCACCUUUCAACUCAUUUCAACCAAAUAAAAUCAAUUCAUAUAAAUCGAGUAAUCAACAUGGCUUAUGAAUUUCUUAAAAGCUUUGGCUCGUGCCAAAAUCAUUCUUAUACUCAGUUAUUAGGGAUACCUUGAUCGAGGGCUAUCCCAACCGAGUUCGCCAAGGCUGAUAAAAAGUUAUGUACGCAUAAAUCAUGUUUUUAUUUUGAAAACAUAGCCGUUCCUUAGCGUUGGCUAAGUUCACCCUCACGUGGUGGUUUAGCGUGAAGUGAACUCUAAAGUGUUAACCUCAAGAGUUAUCCAUCCGCGCCUUUCAUACUGAGGUAUGAAUAUAAUAGGGUUACCGUGCCCCCUCUAAUAGGCUGGUCCACGGAACUCGUCCACUGCAGCGACUAAUCAAUAACCCACCAAUUUAAUAAAAUUCAACAGCAUGACAUGGCAAUUUUAUCAUUAUCUAGCUUAUUAAGGCAAACAACAGUUUAUACAUUUUCAACACAAAUAUCAAUUCAGCCAUUCAUGCUAAUAUUGCCAUAAGCCAAUCAAUUAGAACUAUAAAUUCACAAUACAUCAAAUGGUCUCCAAUUACUCUAUUUUCAAAGCAAUCAUUCAAUUUCAAGACAAUUUAUAAAAUCAUUUCAUUUAAACACAUUUUGUUUAUAAAACAUAAAGAUUUACCAUUUAAACUCAUUUUCCAUAAAAUCACAAAAUCGAAUAAAAACCACUUUAGAUAAUUAAGACGAUAGUAAGGUUACUCACUAUUUUAGGAGUCGAAUUCCGAAUACUCCGAUUCUUGAUCCUCGGGUACUAUUUCUUUACUUUUUCCAGAAUGCUCACCACCUAAACAUAAUGCACAAUAAGCCAUUUACUACAUUUGUGCUAAAUUGUUAUAAAACCAAUUCAGGCUCUAUACUAAUGCAUGAAAUGGAAUGCAAAUUGUUCGGAUUAUCGUCUAAACAUGGUGUUCUACACAAAUUCAAUUGUGUACCCAAAUAAAAUGGUAUUGGCCUAAUUCGAUUUAUCACCCGAUUAAAUGGCCAAUAUGUCCAAUUUAACUCCAAAUAAUUUUAUUUUUCUCCCAAUACUCCAAAUCAUCAAACACAAAUCAAAUAGCAUAAAAUUCAGCAAAAUCAUCUUCACAUUUUCUCAUGGGAAUUUCGGCCAUGGUGGGUGCAUUAACAAUAUAAUUUUUCAAGCUUGAUUCUCACACCAUAAAUCACUAAUUCCUAACCAAAUCACUUGAAAUAAAAUCCAAAUCAUCCUCAAUAUUUCACAUGGAGAAUUCGGCCAAUGAUGGGUGAUGGAAGAACAUGAAUUUUUCUUGCUUGAUUUUCAUGCUACACAUCACCAAUAAACUAAAAACACUAAAAUACAUUGAAAUCUAACCAAAUCAAGCAUCAAAACCUCUCUCUAAGUGUUCAGCCAGCAAGAUACCCAUCAUGAAAUCAUGUGAUUCAACCAUGAAAAAUGCAAAAUAAUGCAUGGGAAAGGUAGAUCACAAGUCAAAAUCAAAAAAUUUUACCUUUGAUUGCUUGAUUACUUGAAAUCCACCAAUUUUCUCUUAAAUUUUCACCCUAGGGUUCUUGUUCUUUCUUUUCUUCCUUUGUUCUUCCUUUGGC